This 429-nucleotide ribosomal RNA is filed under the name Bacteroidota bacterium. RNAcentral describes it as "Bacteroidetes bacterium partial 16S ribosomal RNA". It matches the Rfam family "Bacterial small subunit ribosomal RNA", at positions 355 to 776 of the family's 1533-position model. Lineage: Bacteria; Pseudomonadati; Bacteroidota. The record is from RNAcentral.
UAGGGAAUCUUCCGCAAUGGACGCAAGUCUGACGGAGCAACGCCGCGUGAGUGAAGAAGGAUUUCGGUUCGUAAAACUCUGUUGUUAGAGAAGAACAGCGCAUAGAGUAACUGUUAUGCGUGUGACGGUAUCUAACCAGAAAGCCACGGCUAACUACGUGCCAGCAGCCGCGGUAAUACGUAGGUGGCAAGCGUUGUCCGGAUUUAUUGGGCGUAAAGCGAGCGCAGGCGGUCAAUUAAGUCUGAUGUGAAAGCCCCCGGCUCAACCGGGGAGGGUCAUUGGAAACUGGUUGACUUGAGUGCAGAAGAGGAGAGUGGAAUUCCAUGUGUAGCGGUGAAAUGCGUAGAUAUAUGGAGGAAAACCAGUGGCGAAGGCGACUCUCUGGUCUGUAACUGACGCUGAGGCUCGAAAGCGUGGGUAGCAAACAGG